GAGGUGGGUCGGGCAAUCGCGGUGGCGCAAGCCAUCGAGGAAGGUCUGGACUCCACAGGGCGGGAUAGCGGCUAACGGCCGUCCGGCGAACUGGCGGCUUGUCCGUCAGCGAAGCCGAGGAACAGGGCCACAGAGACGAGUCUGCGGAGCGGGCGCGAAAGCGCACCGGCACGGCCAUCUCCGUGCUGAGCCGUCCGGCAACGGGCGGCGGCGUCGCAGGGUGAAACGCGGCAACCUCUAUCCGGAGCAACAUCAAAUAGGCAUGCGUACGGUCUUCGGACCGGGAAGGGCGGCUCCGUCCGAGCAUGCGGGUAGGUGGCAUGAGCGCGUCAGCAAUGGCGCGCCUAGAGGAAUGAUUGCCCGCCGGGGUCACCCGGCGUACAAAAUCCGGCCUAUAGACUCACCUCGCAA
This 411-nucleotide RNase P RNA is filed under the name Bordetella genomosp. 5. Its description in RNAcentral is "Bacterial RNase P class A". It matches the Rfam family "Bacterial RNase P class A". From Rfam's summary of the family: Ribonuclease P (RNase P) is a ubiquitous endoribonuclease, found in archaea, bacteria and eukarya as well as chloroplasts and mitochondria. Its best characterised activity is the generation of mature 5'-ends of tRNAs by cleaving the 5'-leader elements of precursor-tRNAs. Lineage: Bacteria; Pseudomonadati; Pseudomonadota; Betaproteobacteria; Burkholderiales; Alcaligenaceae. The record is from Rfam by way of RNAcentral.